GGAUGUGAGGAUGAUCCGGCUGUGACAUCUGUCACGUUGGCGAUCGCCAGGGUUGAUUUGGCUGAUCUGGCUGGUGAGGCAGCUGUCCCCUCUUCUUUCCUGGUUGCUUCCUGCGACUCCCACCGCCUCCCUCCUCGAUAAUGCAAUAUUUAAAAAAAAAAAAAAAAACAUUUGAUCGAUGUAAAUGGUUUUAAAAACCAAGCAGCUAUAGUUCAUGCUGAGGUGUUUUCAGGUGUUUGAAUU
RNAcentral lists this small RNA (243 nucleotides) under Octodon degus (degu). RNAcentral's name for it is "7SK RNA (ENSODEG00000022318.1)". The stretch from base 1 to 110 matches the Rfam family "7SK RNA", at positions 1 to 108 of the family's 331-position model. The record is from RNAcentral. Lineage: Eukaryota; Metazoa; Chordata; Mammalia; Rodentia; Octodontidae.